Molecule: ribosomal RNA, 198 nt
Filed under: uncultured bacterium
Lineage: Bacteria
Description: partial 16S ribosomal RNA
Rfam family: Bacterial small subunit ribosomal RNA
Source: RNAcentral
ACGCUCGACACCUACGGGAGGCAGCAGUGGGGAAUAUUGCACAAUGGGGGAAACCCUGAUGCAGCGACGCCGCGUGAGCGAAGAAGUAUUUCGGUAUGUAAAGCUCUAUCAGCAGGGAAGAUCAUGACGGUACCUGACUAAGAAGCUCCGGCUAAAUACGUGUCAGCAGCCGCGGUAAUCUGAGCGGGCUGGCAAGGC